This 597-nucleotide unclassified non-coding RNA is filed under the name Hypoxylon lividipigmentum. RNAcentral describes it as "sequence contains 18S rRNA gene, ITS1, 5.8S rRNA gene, ITS2, 28S rRNA gene". The stretch from base 230 to 383 matches the Rfam family "5.8S ribosomal RNA". The record is from RNAcentral. Lineage: Eukaryota; Fungi; Ascomycota; Sordariomycetes; Xylariales; Hypoxylaceae.
UCGUAACAAGGUCUCCGUUGGUGAACCAGCGGAGGGAUCAUUACUGAGUUGCUUUAAAACUCCAAAACCCUUAUGUGAACAUACCAUAGUUGCCUCGGCGUAAGCCGCACUGCCCCGGCAGCCGCCCCGCGCGGCCGCCUGGCAGCGCAUUCAAGGCCCGCCGAAGGACCGCCAAAACUCUUGUUUAAUUUAAAACGUUUCUCUGAAUGCUUCAACUGAAAUAAGUUAAAACUUUCAACAACGGAUCUCUUGGUUCUGGCAUCGAUGAAGAACGCAGCGAAAUGCGAUAAGUAAUGUGAAUUGCAGAAUUCAGUGAAUCAUCGAAUCUUUGAACGCACAUUGCGCCCAUUAGUAUUCUAGUGGGCAUGCCUAUUCGAGCGUCAUUUCAACCCCUUAAGCCCUGUUGCUUAGCGUUGGGUAUCUACGGGCUUAGGCGCGUAGUUCCUGAAAAUUAGUGGCGGAGCCGAGCGUGCCGCGAGCGUAGUAAUUCAUAUCUCGCCCGUGUGGUGCCCUCGGUUGCCGGCCGUAAAACCCCUUAUAUUUCUUAGUGGUUGACCUCGGAUUAGGUAGGAAUACCCGCUGAACCUAAGCAUAUCA